This 2847-nucleotide ribosomal RNA is filed under the name Triticum aestivum (bread wheat). Its description in RNAcentral is "partial small subunit ribosomal RNA". The record is from RNAcentral. Lineage: Eukaryota; Viridiplantae; Streptophyta; Magnoliopsida; Poales; Poaceae.
AUGGACAACGUCCCUGAGCACCGCGUGCAGAUGCCGGCGGCUCACCCCGCCGGCAAGGCCAAGGCCACGCCGGAGAAGCGGCUGAACCGCUUCGUGCACUUCGUCGCCAUGAUAGAGAGGAUGGGCAACGCUCUGGGUACGCUGACCUUUACCUGGGCCACCGUCGUCCUGCUCGGCGGCUACCCGACGGUGCUCCGUCCCGGUGACGAUUUUUGGAUUGUGACGACUAUAGUUUUCCUGGAGGCCGCGAGGAUGUUCAGCCAUGGAAACAAUAGACCAGAUUACCAGUUGUUCUUCCGCACGAGAGGUGCUUUCAAGUCUCUUGGCUGGAAUGGGCUGAUCUUCACCGUAUGUCUUAUGGAGGUUAUGGUAUGCGUGAUGAUCUUGUGUGGACACUGGAUACUACCAAUGCCAGUUGUUCUUCUGGUAAUUCUUGCAAUUGGCCGGUUUCUAACUCCAGGGGCUGCAAAACUACUCAUAUCCAAUGAACUAUCCUGUGCAAUAUCAUUAUGGAGCCCCAUGGUAGCAAUUAUAUUGUUAGGUCCCUCUGUACCAUAUGGCUAUGGUUUUAAGUACAAGGAUCUCUCAAUUCACAGGCUUAUUCCCAGAAACCCAAUGUCCAGAUGGGCAGCAUACCUAGUACUAUUUGUGGUGGUGCUCCUACUUACAAUCAGCAAACUUCGGUUCCCAGUUGUAGUCAAACUAGUAGAUUCUGGCCGCAAACUGGCAUGUUGGCGCCGAGUUAUCAUAAAUUUGUGCAUGUCUGCUGCCAGAGUGAUGUUGGUGUCAACUUUUCAUGGCUUAGUUCGGUACAUGAUCAUCACAUUCCAAGCAUAUGCUCUAUUGAUAGUUUCAUUUGGCAACCUCCAAGUUCCAGCAGCAGUAUUGCGCAUUGGGUUGGCACUGUCGCGCCUUAUACCACAGUGCUACUAUGGUGAUGAUGAACGUGUUGACAGGACAACACUCGGUGAUAAGACAAACUUUGUGCCAUCUCUCGAUAUAUUGUAUGCCAUGGUACUUGGCCAAGGAAUACUCUACAUUGUUGCCUGCAUCCUUGAGGUCUUUUCAUUCAUCCUCCGGCGAUCGCUCACCAAUCUUGCUGGAUUUAGAGGUCCCCUGGGAGUGGAAUAUGUCGAAUUGUACUAUGCAUAUGCAUUUGAAAAAUGCAUGAGAGGGGUUGUGCUUGCUCCAAAGAAAACCAGUCUCAUCACAUUUGCAAUCGACUCUAUAGAAUCAAACUCACCAAAGAUGCAAUUCUAUGGGGUUCAGAUGAUCCACGGCUUUUUGAAAAAGGAGCCAUUGAAGAUUAAAGCCAUCUCAAAACUCACCACUUCCACAAAGACAGUGACCACAGUGCUUAAUAUGUUGGGUUGGACUAGUAGAGGGAACAAAGAUAUUAGAUUGUUUGCCGCAAAGGUCGUGGCCGAGCUUGCUAAGAGUACCCGAAUUGCCUCUAUACCUGGGGCGAUGCAGCUCAUAGCUUCACUUCUAGACACUACCCACGAAAGAGAAAUAAAGGAUCCUCUGCUAGACACUAAUAGCCAAGUGGCCAAACAAGAUGCCCUAAUUGAGCAAGUUAGCAAGGACAGACAGAACUCCGCGAGGCUUAAAUGGUGGAAACAGAUGGUAAUAUACUGCUUGAUACCGGCAGAGGAGCCACCUAGGAUGGAUGAGCAGAACUACCAUAAGCACAUUACAGAAUGCAGGUCUGUUCCAGAGGAUGAUCCCUCGAUGAACCAUGAUCUCCUCCCUGCACUAGGCAUGUUAAUUAUUGAGAGGCUUGCUACCUUUGAUCUUGAGAACUGGAUGGAAAUCAACGGAGCAACAUGCCUCAUCUCAAAGACCAUAGAGUUUGCAAGCUGCAGAACCAAAAUGAUAAAUAUCAGUGAGACGGACCAAACAAUGCUGAAAGGUUCAUCAUUGAAGGUGCUGAGAAGACUUACAAGCACUAAAGGGAAGUUUGGUGUAGCUCUGCGACAGAAGAUUUCAGAACAUCCUUUCCUGUUGAGUAACAUUGCAGAAAUUUUGGAUGAAAGCAAGAGCAGCCGUGAAGAUAGGGAGGUCACAGCAGAGAUCAUUAGAAAUCUUGCCAUGAAUGGAAAUACAAGCGCAGAGAUUGGGCACAUCUGGUUGAUCAUUAGCAGAUUGAUGUAUGCCUUUCUCAGACAAGAUGCACCAUCGAGUGGAGAUACAGGGCACUUCCUUCCAAUGAUCGCUGGGCAAGCAUUGGCAGUGCUGGCAAUGGAGAGUUCCAACAAUUGUUUGGUUAUGUUAGCGGAGCCAGGGCAUGUAUUCAUCAGAGAACUCACAAUUAUGAUCCAUAGUGAGAGCCAGUACAGGUACACAGCAGCAAGCCUGUUGCGAGAUAUGUGCGUGCAAGCUCGGCCUGUUCUGAGCAACUCAGACCUGAAGAAUAUCUCUUACAUCUUGCGAGAGGUGUUGGAAGGAAUAAUGGAUGCAGAAGGAGCAGAGCUAGAGAUCCUUCUUGGCCUUAGUUCACAAAUAUGUAAUGUUGUUCCUGAAGACUUUGCCCGAGAACUAGAUUGUGGUGAGAUUAAGGAAAGAUUUAUAAAGAGGCUUGUCGAUGUGCUUAACUCAAAUAUGGUACCCACUGCUCAUUGUCCUGGAAUCAGGAGGGCAGUAGUUCAACAUGCAGUAUACAUGAUGGAGAACAAGCCUAGCUACGCAAACUAUUUCAACAGAUGCUGGAUGAUGGAAGCACUGGUAAUGGUAGAAAGUACACCUUCAAAGGCUGAAAAUUAUAGACUCUUCUGGGGUGAUGCAGGACUCAUGGAGCACAGCAUACCUCUCUCUGCUCUCGUGGCCAGAGCGAAAAGAUGUCUGUGA